RNAcentral lists this ribosomal RNA (433 nucleotides) under uncultured bacterium. Its description in RNAcentral is "partial 16S ribosomal RNA". It matches the Rfam family "Bacterial small subunit ribosomal RNA", at positions 29 to 507 of the family's 1533-position model. The record is from RNAcentral.
AACGAACGCUGGCGGCAUGCCUAACACAUGCAAGUCGAACGAGACCUUCGGGUCUAGUGGCGCAGGGGUGCGUAACGCGUGGGAACCUGCCCUUAGGUUCGGAAUAACUCCCCGCAAGGGGUGCUAAUACCGGAUAAUGUCUUAGGACCAAAGAUUUAUCGCCUUUGGAUGGGCCCGCGUUGGAUUAGCUAGUUGGUAGGGUAAAAGCCUACCAAGGCGACGCUCCAUAGCUGGUCUGAGAGGAUGAUCAGCCACACUGGGACUGAGACACGGCCCAGACUCCUACGGGAGGCAGCAGUGGGGAAUAUUGGACAAUGGGCGAAAGCCUGAUCCAGCAAUGCCGCGUGAGUGAUGAAGGCCUUAGGGUUGUAAAGCUCUUUUACCCGGGAUGAUAAUGACAGUACCGGGAGAAUAAGCACCGGCUAACUCCGUG